UGGGGGAUAUUGCACAAUGGGCGAAAGCCUGAUGCAGCGACGCCGCGUGGGGGAUGAAGGCUUUCGGGUUGUAAACCUCUUUCGCUAUCGAACAAGGCCCGCUUAGGGUGGGUUGAGGGUAGGUGGAGAAGAAGCGCCGGCUAACUACGUGCCAGCAGCCGCGGUAAUACGUAGGGCGCGAGCGUUGUCCGGGAUUAUUGGGCGUAAAGGGCUUGUAGGCGGCUUGUUGCGCCUGCUGUGAAAACGCGGGGCUUAACUUCGCGCGUGCAGUGGGUACGGGCAGGCUUGAGUGUGGUAGGGGUGACUGGAAUUCCAGGUGUAGCGGUGGAAUGCGCAGAUAUCUGGAGGAACACCGAUGGCGAAGGCAGGUCACUGGGCCAUUACUGACGCUGAGGAGCGAAAGCAUGGGUAGCGAACAGG
This 420-nucleotide ribosomal RNA is filed under the name bacterium. RNAcentral describes it as "partial 16S ribosomal RNA". It matches the Rfam family "Bacterial small subunit ribosomal RNA", at positions 355 to 776 of the family's 1533-position model. The record is from RNAcentral.